RNAcentral lists this ribosomal RNA (1540 nucleotides) under Staphylococcus aureus. RNAcentral describes it as "16S ribosomal RNA". It matches the Rfam family "Bacterial small subunit ribosomal RNA". Lineage: Bacteria; Bacillati; Bacillota; Bacilli; Caryophanales; Staphylococcaceae. The record is from RNAcentral.
AGAGUUUGAUCCUGGCUCAGGAUGAACGCUGGCGGCGUGCCUAAUACAUGCAAGUCGAGCGAACGGACGAGAAGCUUGCUUCUCUGAUGUUAGCGGCGGACGGGUGAGUAACACGUGGAUAACCUACCUAUAAGACUGGGAUAACUUCGGGAAACCGGAGCUAAUACCGGAUAAUAUUUUGAACCGCAUGGUUCAAAAGUGAAAGACGGUCUUGCUGUCACUUAUAGAUGGAUCCGCGCUGCAUUAGCUAGUUGGUAAGGUAACGGCUUACCAAGGCAACGAUGCAUAGCCGACCUGAGAGGGUGAUCGGCCACACUGGAACUGAGACACGGUCCAGACUCCUACGGGAGGCAGCAGUAGGGAAUCUUCCGCAAUGGGCGAAAGCCUGACGGAGCAACGCCGCGUGAGUGAUGAAGGUCUUCGGAUCGUAAAACUCUGUUAUUAGGGAAGAACAUAUGUGUAAGUAACUGUGCACAUCUUGACGGUACCUAAUCAGAAAGCCACGGCUAACUACGUGCCAGCAGCCGCGGUAAUACGUAGGUGGCAAGCGUUAUCCGGAAUUAUUGGGCGUAAAGCGCGCGUAGGCGGUUUUUUAAGUCUGAUGUGAAAGCCCACGGCUCAACCGUGGAGGGUCAUUGGAAACUGGAAAACUUGAGUGCAGAAGAGGAAAGUGGAAUUCCAUGUGUAGCGGUGAAAUGCGCAGAGAUGUGGAGGAACACCAGUGGCGAAGGCGACUUUCUGGUCUGUAACUGACGCUGAUGUGCGAAAGCGUGGGGAUCAAACAGGAUUAGAUACCCUGGUAGUCCACGCCGUAAACGAUGAGUGCUAAGUGUUAGGGGGUUUCCGCCCCUUAGUGCUGCAGCUAACGCAUUAAGCACUCCGCCUGGGGAGUACGACCGCAAGGUUGAAACUCAAAGGAAUUGACGGGGACCCGCACAAGCGGUGGAGCAUGUGGUUUAAUUCGAAGCAACGCGAAGAACCUUACCAAAUCUUGACAUCCUUUGACAACUCUAGAGAUAGAGCUUUCCCCUUCGGGGGACAAAGUGACAGGUGGUGCAUGGUUGUCGUCAGCUCGUGUCGUGAGAUGUUGGGUUAAGUCCCGCAACGAGCGCAACCCUUAAGCUUAGUUGCCAUCAUUAAGUUGGGCACUCUAAGUUGACUGCCGGUGACAAACCGGAGGAAGGCGGGGAUGACGUCAAAUCAUCAUGCCCCUUAUGAUUUGGGCUACACACGUGCUACAAUGGACAAUACAAAGGGCAGCGAAACCGCGAGGUCAAGCAAAUCCCAUAAAGUUGUUCUCAGUUCGGAUUGUAGUCUGCAACUCGACUACAUGAAGCUGGAAUCGCUAGUAAUCGUAGAUCAGCAUGCUACGGUGAAUACGUUCCCGGGUCUUGUACACACCGCCCGUCACACCACGAGAGUUUGUAACACCCGAAGCCGGUGGAGUAACCUUUUAGGAGCUAGCCGUCGAAGGUGGGACAAAUGAUUGGGGUGAAGUCGUAACAAGGUAGCCGUAUCGGAAGGUGCGGCUGGAUCACCU